GAUGAACGCUGGCGGCGUGCCUAAUACAUGCAAGUCGAGCGAACGGACGAGAAGCUUGCUUCUCUGAUGUUAGCGGCGGACGGGUGAGUAACACGUGGAUAACCUACCUAUAAGACUGGGAUAACUUCGGGAAACCGGAGCUAAUACCGGAUAAUAUUUUGAACCGCAUGGUUCAAAAGUGAAAGACGGUCUUGCUGUCACUUAUAGAUGGAUCCGCGCUGCAUUAGCUAGUUGGUAAGGUAACGGCUUACCAAGGCAACGAUGCAUAGCCGACCUGAGAGGGUGAUCGGCCACACUGGAACUGAGACACGGUCAAGACGACUACGGGAGGCAGCAGUAGGGAAUCUUCCGCAAUGGGCGAAAGCAUGACGGAGCAACGCCGCGUGAGUGAUGAAGGUCUUCGGAUCGUAAAACUCUGUUAUUAGGGAAGAACAGAUGUGUAAGUAACUGUGCACAUCUUGACGGUACCUAAUCAGAAAGCCACGGCUAACUACGUG
Molecule: ribosomal RNA, 497 nt
Filed under: uncultured bacterium
Lineage: Bacteria
Description: partial 16S ribosomal RNA
Rfam family: Bacterial small subunit ribosomal RNA
Source: RNAcentral